AGUGAACGCUGGCGGCGUGCCUAACACAUGCAAGUCGAACGAGAACGGAUAUAAGUUUACUUAUAUUGUCAGCUAAGUGGCGCACGGGUGAGUAAUAUAUAGUUAACUUGCCUCCAAGAAGGGGAUAAUUGUUGGAAACGACUUGUAAAACCCUAUAUGCCUUUAUCACAUAAGUGAGCAAGGGAAAUAUUUAUAGCUUGGAGAUAGGACUGUACGGUAUCAGAUAGUUGGUGAGGUAAUGGCUCACCAAGUCUAUGACACCUAACUGGUUUGAGAGGAUGAUCAGUCACACUGGAACUGAGACACGGUCCAG
This 313-nucleotide ribosomal RNA is filed under the name uncultured Arcobacter sp. RNAcentral describes it as "bacterial SSU rRNA". It matches the Rfam family "Bacterial small subunit ribosomal RNA", at positions 29 to 334 of the family's 1533-position model. Lineage: Bacteria; Pseudomonadati; Campylobacterota; Epsilonproteobacteria; Campylobacterales; Arcobacteraceae. The record is from RNAcentral.